RNAcentral lists this transfer RNA (72 nucleotides) under Camelus bactrianus (Bactrian camel). It matches the Rfam family "tRNA". Rfam says of the family: Transfer RNA (tRNA) molecules are approximately 80 nucleotides in length. Lineage: Eukaryota; Metazoa; Chordata; Mammalia; Artiodactyla; Camelidae. The record is from Rfam by way of RNAcentral. RNAcentral also lists the same sequence under 2 other names.
GGGGGUAUAGCUCAGUGGUGGAGCAUGUGCUUGGCGUGCUUGAGGUCCUGGAUUCGACCCCCAGUGCCUCUG